AGAACUUAAAUUUUUUUGUGAUUUUAGAAAUGUUUGAGAGUUUUUGUAGAAUAAUUCAUUUUCUGUGAUGGAGUAAGAUCUUACAAGUUUAAGAUUUUGAUGGAAAAUUCACGGUUAAAGAUUUAUUGAAGGGAGGUGAACUCUUAAAUAGUAGAUGUUAUGUUUAAGAUUUUGACUAAAAAUUUAAAAUUCUUUUACUAAAGAGGUUCAAUUUGACAUGCUAAUUACAAAAUGGGUAAAAUGUUACAAUUACAAUGUGAGAUUAUAAUUAAUUUGAAAAUAUAACUCAAAACAAGAGUAGAUACAAGGGGAAAUGGGAGAGGACACUAUCUUAUUUAAGGGAAAGAAAAUGACUUCAUAAAGAAGAGAUGACUAAAACGAAGACAAGAGGAACAACCGACAACAAUUCACAGGGAGACAACAACUCACACGAAGACAAGAGGAAACAAUUGACAAUAACUCAGAGGGAGACAACAACUCACAGAGAGUAAUUUCAACUCAAAUUUUACACUACACUCAUUAUUAUUUAUAAUCUUACUGACUUGAGCGUUGUACCAUCUUCUACAGGUGGAACCCUCUCAUUUCUUUGGAACCAAUUCAUGAAGUUGGAAGGAUACAAUUCGAUGACCAUCUCGAAAUUUAACUGUCAACUACAUGCUCUGAUGAUUGAUAGAUAUCCUCUUCACUAGAAUAUUUAUCAUUAAAGAUGCAUUAAGUUGAGAUGUUGUUGCUCAAAUAUCAAAUUAGCAGUUUUGGAGAAGGAGGAACCUGAAACAACAAAUAAAAUGAUUGUCGGUUAGUUUUUUACAUUAUUGUCAAUGGUGAGAGUAGCAGAUUUGGAAAUGACAGUAAGUAGUGGGCGAGUUUGAUAUGAAAAUCUGAGAAGUAACAAGUGACAUAGAGCAUGGGUCAAGCUCUGAAACUAGCAGUGUAGUGCACAAUUAAAAUGACAGCGUGAAGCAAGGCUUUUAGCAUGCUAUCCCAACACCCCCAUGAUAACAGCAUAUAUUAUACCAUAUCUUUCGGUAUGGUGCUACUUAUUAUGAUGUUCCCUUUAAUAAAUUGUUACUGUUCACUUUGAUUUACAUAAUGUGAAAGAGGAAAGGUGGAUUUACAUGGAAGAAUUGCAUCAUCGACACCUUCAAGGAUAAAAAGAAUCCUAAGGAAUCAACCAAGUUUGUUGUAAGUACAAAAAGUUUGCACUUAUUAGGUCAAAAUGUCCACACAUCGCCUUCAAGCUUUGGACCAAGAUCCUUGACCUUUCAGGGAUGUGAAUGUUCAUUAUUUCUUUCCUACUAUAUAAAGGGAUUCAUUAACUUGAUCGUCUAAAAGACUCCAAACACUUAUUCUUUGUUUUAUAUACAAACACUUAUUGUUUGUUUUAUAUACAUGUACAAACCUUGGACGUCCAAUUAUAGUACCUUUUAAAAUAUUAUUUUUCAUGUUUUUUUAUUUAAGAUUAAAG
Molecule: long non-coding RNA, 1465 nt
Filed under: Phaseolus vulgaris (common bean)
Lineage: Eukaryota; Viridiplantae; Streptophyta; Magnoliopsida; Fabales; Fabaceae
Description: long non-coding RNA (PVUL_LNC001063)
Source: RNAcentral